Molecule: unclassified non-coding RNA, 200 nt
Filed under: Agaricales sp.
Lineage: Eukaryota; Fungi; Basidiomycota; Agaricomycetes; Agaricales
Description: partial internal transcribed spacer 2
Source: RNAcentral
UUAAGUUCAGCGGGUAGUCCUACCUGAUUUGAGGUCAAGAAGUUCAUUAAACAUUGUCCAUAACGGACGAUUAGCAGCUGAACUAGUCAGAGAGCAAUCCAUCACAGUGUAGAUAAUUAUCACACUAGUGACGGGACUGCAAACGGUUCCGCUAAUGUAUUUCAGGAGAGCUGACCUUUACAUCAGUAAAGACCCGCAAG